Molecule: ribosomal RNA, 253 nt
Filed under: uncultured bacterium
Lineage: Bacteria
Description: partial 16S ribosomal RNA
Rfam family: Bacterial small subunit ribosomal RNA
Source: RNAcentral
UACGUAGGUGGCAAGCGUUGUUCGGAAUUAUUGGGCGUAAAGAGCUCGUAGGCGGUUUGUCGCGUCGGCUGUGAAAUCCCGAGGCUCAACCUCGGGUCUGCAGUCGAUACGAGCAAACUAGAGUGUUGCAGGGGAGACUGGAAUUCCUGGUGUAGCGGUGAAAUGCGCAGAUAUCAGGAGGAACACCGGUGGCGAAGGCGGGUCUCUGGGCAACAACUGACGCUGAGGAGCGAAAGCGUGGGGAGCGAACAGG